RNAcentral lists this unclassified non-coding RNA (282 nucleotides) under plant metagenome. RNAcentral's name for it is "partial contains small subunit ribosomal RNA, internal transcribed spacer 1, and 5.8S ribosomal RNA". The stretch from base 235 to 282 matches the Rfam family "5.8S ribosomal RNA", at positions 1 to 49 of the family's 154-position model. The record is from RNAcentral.
UUUCCGUAGGUGAACCUGCGGAAGGAUCAUUAUUGUAUAACCGAGGUGCGAGGGCUGUCGCUGACCCGAAAGGUCGUGCACGCCCGAGUGCCCUCACACACAUCCAUCUCACCCCUAUGUGCACCACCGCGUGGGUCCCCCUUUGGCUUGUUCGGAGGGGGGCUUACGUUUUCACACAAACUUUGUAUGCAGUGUAGAAUGUAUUUUUUGUUUUUGCGAUCACGCAAUCAAUACAUCUUUCAACAACGGAUCUCUUGGCUCUCGCAUCGAUGAAGACGCAGC